AUUGCAAAGAGCUAUAGGAAUAAGGAGCUGGAGCAGGCUGAGGUAUGAGACCACAGGCAAAGAGGUGAAGCAAAUAACCUCUGAACUCCAAGUGCAAGUGAAAGCAGAGCAUUAGUUGCAUGGGCAGCAAAGCCUGGAUGAGUGAAACUCUGUCUGUGGUUGGAAGCUAGAGGUGGAGGACAAAGGUGAAGGCAUCACAUCUCAUCAGUGUUUCUUGAUGAGACAGAUGUUCCUCAAAGGUCCUUCUCCCCAGUGCUUCAGAUCCUCAUCUGCAGGUGCAGCAUUAGUUACCGUCUUUCUGUGACACCUUAAGGAGUUGAUGUACUUGUACUUGGUAUCUGUAUGUAAAACUAGGAAGAUGUAGCAAAAUAAAAACAUCGUUUCUCUGCCUUUUAGAUGCAUUACUUAAGAUGUUCUCAUUUUUCUUGUAAUAUUAUCUGGUAUCUCCUACCAUUAUUGAGUCCUUUAUAUGUGCAUGCACGCACACAAAAGUGAGUAGGUAAUGCAUGACCCCAAGAUCUGACAGCAAAAGACAACAAAAGAAGCAAAGAGACCAUGAUCACCAACUCACAGGUAGGAAACUAAUGUUCAGUGAGAUUAACUCAGUUGAUGUAACAGUUUCUAAAAGUGGUGUACUCCCAGCACAUACCAGCAUAAUUUCUGUACUUUGUCAUAUGAGGUUUUGUAUCUAUGCUUGAAUUUUAUAGCAUCUUAAUGUGAAUUGUUCCUAAGAGGAGUGUAAUUGCAGCAUCUAGCUAUGAUGAUAAUGGACAUUACAGAAUUACCUCAGUGGAAAAGCAGAUCCUACAUAUUG
Long non-coding RNA from Pezoporus flaviventris, 814 nucleotides. RefSeq lists it as uncharacterized. Lineage: Eukaryota; Metazoa; Chordata; Aves; Psittaciformes; Psittacidae. The record is from RefSeq and is a predicted model, not a curated record. The transcript has 3 exons.